This 309-nucleotide unclassified non-coding RNA is filed under the name Hevea brasiliensis (rubber tree). The record is from RNAcentral. Lineage: Eukaryota; Viridiplantae; Streptophyta; Magnoliopsida; Malpighiales; Euphorbiaceae.
AAUUUAAUAAUAUUAAAAUUAUCUGAAUUCGAAUUUUAAUCAGAGCCUAAUUCAAUAUUAUCCUGUAUAGGCUACGUGGGUCAUUUAGUUACAAUCUCACUUCCUGUUAGAUGAGCUAAAUAUCCUGCAUAAUAGGAGAUGGAGUGCUUUACGGGUGCAGAUUUUUUUCUUCUUAUGAUAGAAAAGAAAAUUUUGGCUUUUUCUUUGGGAAAAUUCAACGAAUUUCUAAAAUUUUCUUAAUUUUUAAUGUAUUUGCAAAAGCGUUUAAUAAUGAGAAUUGGUUGAUUUUUUUUUUUCUCCAUUCAUUAA